This 253-nucleotide ribosomal RNA is filed under the name uncultured bacterium. RNAcentral describes it as "partial 16S ribosomal RNA". It matches the Rfam family "Bacterial small subunit ribosomal RNA", at positions 524 to 776 of the family's 1533-position model. The record is from RNAcentral.
UACGUAGGGUGCAAGCGUUGUCCGGAAUUACUGGGCGUAAAGGGCGCGUAGGCGGUUCUGUAAGUCCCGCGUGAAAUCCCCCGGCUCAACUGGGGAACUGCGCGGGAAACUGCGGGGCUUGAGUUCGGGAGAGGGAAGCGGAAUUCCGGGUGUAGCGGUGAAAUGCGUAGAUAUCCGGAGGAACACCGGUGGCGAAGGCGGCUUCCUGGACCGACACUGACGCUGAGGCGCGAAAGCUAGGGGAGCAAACGGG